Long non-coding RNA from Pteropus alecto (black flying fox), 2798 nucleotides. RefSeq lists it as uncharacterized. The transcript is spliced from 4 exons. The record is from RefSeq and is a predicted model, not a curated record. Lineage: Eukaryota; Metazoa; Chordata; Mammalia; Chiroptera; Pteropodidae.
AGGUACAUGUCUCUUCAAGGACAAUCGAAGGCUUUUGAGCGGGGAAAUUAUGUGACCAGACCCUGGCUUUAGGCAGGGCGGAAAGGGUAGUAGCAGAAGAGAGAGACUAACGGCAAGAGACCAGUUGUGCAGUUAUUUUACAGUGGUUCAGGUCAGAGGUAAUGAGCUGGGAUUGUGGCAGUGGGAACUGGGAGGGAGAAACGGAUAGAAUGAUUCAGCGUAGAGGUAUUGACAACACACUGAGACAGUAAAGAAAACCAGCGUAGGUUUUAAGCGGAGACCUGGUAACGAACUGAGUCUGCGGUGCCAUCUGACUGGGCGUGUGUGUGCCCAGAGGCCAGGGGGCCCCACAGGGAGAAGCCAGAGCUGCACCGGCUCCCUGGGCUGUGCCCCAGCGUUAGGAAGGGACAGCGUGCUCACUCUCUGAGCGUUAGAAGCUGCUGCGAAACUGCAAAUACUCCUCACGUAGAGAAGGAGGGGGAAGGAAACUGAAGAUCAAAAGGAAAGCCUCGUAGGAGGCAGGAAAUCAGUGACAGAAUGUACCGCAUGGGCUGUAAGAAUCAGCCCUUUCAGCCUCUUCCAGGCAGAAAUGUAGUCAGAGGCCACAUUGUCCUUUUCUAGUCUACACCGCCUUCCACCUUUUUUCUUGGACGAGGCGAAGGACAUGUAUCAAGCGGAGAAGCAUUUGGACUUCUGAUGCCUAGUCCCGCUCACGAAAGCUCCUUACGGGCAGUGAUUGUAUCUUUGCAUGCCUUAGACGGGGUGGGUGCUUAAAAAUAUCAACAGAAUUCCCUGAACUGUCUUUAAUUCUCAUUUUGUUGAGCUUUCGUUGCUUCAUUUUGUUGAGCUUUCGUUGUAGAGGAUCUGGACAAGGAGGCAAGCAGUCUGGUCUGACACUUCUGUCCUGGGUGCUCCUAGAGAACUUUACUCAUCCGUGGAUCCUUCCCUGGUUCUCCAUCUUUCUCCACCAAUUUCCUCUGCCCUCAGGAUUUCAUCUCUUCUUAAAGCAGGAAGGGUACCUAACCACCUGGGGGACGUGUGACCUAAGCUGAGGGUGUGUCACCUAUAAACUAGAGAUGAAGCUGACUCACCUGGCUCACAUUCCAAACAGAGCAAGGAAGUCCCACAGACUUCCUCCAAUGUCACAUUCGUGAGAACUUGAUCACAUGCCUAAACCAAGUACUGGCGAGGGGAAUGGAACUCUGCGACUGGCUUUGCUCCAUCAUCGUUCCAGCCACCUCCCUCCCCCUCUCCCCUGAAGACCAGUCGCACGGAGAAAGGUGGCUGAUUGAACAGAACUGGGGUUCCAUAGGCAAGAAGGAAGAAGAAGGAUGGACAUCAGUUAAGUAAUCGACAUGCUGCUACGGCUUUUGAAAAGAGAGAAAAUAUCAAUGAAAUAUUUUAGGAAGCGUAAUCUAGCAAUGGUUCGCAGUGAGAUAGAGAGAGACCCGGAAGAGAGAGACCCGGUUAUACUAUUAUGAGUCUGGAUGUGACUCCAUUAUGAGUGUGGUAUGCGCUAUCAGAGCAAUGGUUCUCAACUGCCAAGUCAUUCAUUUAUUCGUUAAAUAAAUAUUUAAUGAGCGACUGCCACAGGUCAGGCCCUAUGCUGGGUGCCAUAGAUAAAAUGAUGAACUUAUCUCAUGGAGCUUCAUAGUCUAAUGGAUUAAGCAAAUAUCAAUAAGGAAAUCCACAAAUAAGUGGAAGUUUAUAACUUAGUUACUAUUAUGAAAGAACCCAGGAUAUUUGUUUUCUAUGUUUUUAAUUGAGGUAAAAGUCAUACAGUGAAACACACAGAUCUUAAGUACACAACUUGAAGUACAUGUGGCUGUGACUACCCUAUCAAGAUAUAGAACAUUUCCAUCACCCCAGAAAUUUCCCUUGUGCCCCCUUUCUAUUCAAUCCCCACGUUCCUAAUAGGCACAGUUUGAUUUCUAUCAUCAAGAUAGAAUUCUGUUCUUGAAUUCUAUAAUAAUGGUUUCUUUUGCUCAACGAAUGAUUUUGAGAUUAAUCUAUGCUGUUGUGUUUAAAGGGAGUUCGCUUUUAAAAUUUGUAUUUCAUUUUUUGAUCAAAGUAUUUAUCUAUUUUUCCAUUGAUAGACAUUGAGAUGUUUCCAGUUUUGGCCUAUUAUGAAUAAAGCUGCUGUGAACAUUCAUGUAUAAGCUUUUUAUAGACAUAUGUUUCAAUUCCUUUUGGUUAAAUACCUUGGAGUGGAACUGCUGGGUCAUAGGGUGGGAAUAUGUUUAACUUUGUAAGAACCACAAAUGUUAGAACUAAUAAACAAACUGAGUAAAGUCGCAGGAUACAAAAGCAAUAUACUACAAUCUGUUGCAUUGCUUCUAUACACUAACAACAAACUAUCAGAAAAAGAAAUUAAGAAAACAAUCACAUUUACAGUUGCAUCAAAAAGAAUAAAAUAUUUAGGAAUAAAUUUAACCAAGGGUGUGAAUGACUUCUACACUGAAAACUCUAAGAUAUUGAUGAAAGAACUUGAAGAUACAAAUAAAUGAAAAGAUAGUCUGUGCUCAUGGAUAGGAAGAAUUAAUAUUGUUAAAAUGUCUAUACUACCCAAAGCGAUCUACAGAUUCGGUAUGUCCCUAUCAAAAUUCCAAAGGCAUUUUUCACAAAAAUAGAACAAACUUCUAAAAUUUAUACCAAGUCACAAAAGACCCUAAAUAGCCGAAGCAAUCUUGGGAAAGAACAAAGCAAGAGGCAUCACGCACCCCAAUAUCAAACUAUAUUACAAAGCUAUAGUAAUCAAAACAUUGUGGCAUUGGCAUAAAAACAGACACAUAGAUCAA